This is a small nucleolar RNA of Tachyglossus aculeatus (Australian echidna), 139 nucleotides long. Lineage: Eukaryota; Metazoa; Chordata; Mammalia; Monotremata; Tachyglossidae. The record is from RefSeq and is a predicted model, not a curated record.
CCCCUCUCAGGGUCACGGCUGGAGAGUUUUCAGUACUUUUCCAGUCUCCACUAUGGGAGGAAGAAUCAAGCAGAGGCCUUACCCAUUCCAUUCCUAGCUUGGGCAGCGGCUAGUGAAUGGAAGACAAUCUGCUACAAGU